CCUACGGGCGGCAGCAGUGGGGAAUAUUGCACAAUGGGGGAAACCCUGAUGCAGCGACGCCGCGUGAGUGAAGAAGUAUUUCGGAAUGUAAAGCUCUAUCAGCAGGGAAGAAAAUGACGGUACCUGAUUAAGAAGCACCGGCUAACUACGUGCCAGCAGCCGCGGUAAUACGUAGGGGGCAAGCGUUAGCCGGAUUUACUGGGUGGAAAGGGAGCGUAGACGGCAGGACAAGUCUGGAGUGAAAUCCCGGGGCUUAACCCCGGAACUGCUUUGGAAACUGUGCAACUAGAGUGCAGGAGAGGUAAGUGGAAUUCCUGGUGUAGCGGUGAAAUGCGUAGAUAUUUGGAGGAACACCAGUGGCGAAGGCGGCUUACUGGACUGUAACUGACGUUGAGGCUCGAAAGCGUGGGGAGCAAACAGGAUUAGAUACCCGAGUAGUC
Molecule: ribosomal RNA, 440 nt
Filed under: uncultured bacterium
Lineage: Bacteria
Description: partial 16S ribosomal RNA
Rfam family: Bacterial small subunit ribosomal RNA
Source: RNAcentral